AUGAAGGAAAAUGAUAAUAAUGUUCCUAGUUUUAGUUUACCUGCAGUUAGUGCAAAAGAUGGUGUAUGUAAUUAUAUAACUGAUACGAGUAUGCGUCAAGAUGGUGAGGAAUGUGACCAGUUAGCGAUAGAAGAUAGAACAGUAGAUAGAUCACAGACAGAACAACUAACCAAACAAUCGUCUAAAGAACCUAUUGAACAACCAAGCGAUUUGGAAAAAAAAAAAAAUAACUUUAACGAAUCGUCUGACUUGAAAGACUCUCAAGUGAAAGACUCUGACGUGAAAGACUCUCAAGUGAAAGACUCUCAAGUGAAAGACUCUGACGUGAAAGACCCUCAAGUGAAAGACUCUGACGUGAAAGACCCUCAAGUGAAAGACUCUGACGUUAAAGACUCUGACGUGAAAGACUCUGACGUGCAAAGCAAAACGGAAAACACCAAUAUUAAAAAAAAAACAUCAACAGAAAAACACGUUUCUGUAAAUACGGAUGAACAUAGUAAAACUAAUGAAAAAGAUAAUAUAAUAACAGAAGUAAAAAAUAUGGAACUAGAAUCUAAUAAUUCACUACAAAAUAUAUAUAGUAGUGAAAAUGAUGCUAUACGUAACGAAUUAGUCGAAACAAGUACUCGAGAAAAUAUUCCAUUGUACAGUGGUGAUAAUAACGUACAUACUAAUUUAUAUGAAAAUACAAAUAAAAAUAAUAAUAAUACUAAUAACUAUAACAAUUCAACUGAACUAGCAACAAAAGAUACAAUGUUAAACAAUAUGAAUGUUCAUAAUAAUAAAAAUAUAUAUAUGCUUAGUUCACAUGAUAAUGUAUUAUUUUAUAAAUAUAUAUAUGAAGAACCAAAAGGUAAUAUAGGAAAGUAUUUCCGCUUUUUAGUUAAAAAUUAUUAUGUACCUUUUUUAUCAUCGAAAAAAGGAAAAAUAGUAGUAUAUAUAAUAUUUUUAAUAACAAUAAUAUUAUCAUUAUAUGGAUGUACAAAAAUGAAAAAAGGAAUAAAAUAUGAUAAAGCAUUUCCAUCUGAUUCUUAUGUUCGUUUAUUUUUUAAAGCUAGAUUAGAACAUUACCCUCAACUUGGAGAUAUGAUACAAGUAUUUUUUUUGACAAAGAUUUUUUAAAAAAGUAUCAAAAAUUAAAACAUACAGAUAAUAUUAAUACAUCAUCUAUUUUAUAUUCAGAUAAAACAGAUAGAGAAAUGAUGAACAAUCCUAAAUUAAAUAGAAAUAUACCAUGGCAUGAUUCGAAUAUUCAUAAUCACAUAAUAAAUAUGCAAAAAGCAUUGGAAAAACA
RNAcentral lists this long non-coding RNA (1294 nucleotides) under Piliocolobus tephrosceles (Ugandan red Colobus). RNAcentral's name for it is "lncRNA (ENSPTEG00000024909.1)". The record is from RNAcentral. Lineage: Eukaryota; Metazoa; Chordata; Mammalia; Primates; Cercopithecidae.